This 349-nucleotide transfer-messenger RNA is filed under the name Streptococcaceae. RNAcentral describes it as "Streptococcus sp001578885 Standard tmRNA". It matches the Rfam family "transfer-messenger RNA". Rfam says of the family: Bacterial tmRNA, also known as 10Sa RNA or SsrA, is named for its dual tRNA and mRNA-like properties. Its role is to liberate the mRNA from a stalled ribosome. RNAcentral also lists the same sequence under 1 other name. The record is from RNAcentral. Lineage: Bacteria; Bacillati; Bacillota; Bacilli; Lactobacillales.
GGGGUCGUUACGGAUUCGACAGGCAUUAUGAGGUAUGUUCUGCGACCCAUCGGCAGAUGUAAAAAUGCCAGUUAAAUAUAACUGCAAAAAAUAACACUUCUUACGCAGUAGCUGCCUAAACACCAGCUCGCGUAACUUCUGCAAGAUGGCUUGCGUUUUGUUAGAGGUUUUAUUUUAGCAAGAUACGUUGUUUUGCUUGCCUAGGUAAGGCAAAAGAGAUUUUUAGGCUCGCCUGAGCUGAGUUUGAGUUAUGUACUAGGCUGAGGUUAAAUGCAUACAUAACCUAUGGUUGUAGACGAACAUAUUGGCAGGUGUUUGGACGUGGGUUCGACUCCCACCGACUCCAUAU